AAAAUGAAUAGAUCUCUCCAUAGAAAAAAAGCUCUCUCGCUCUCUCUCAUAUCUAAAUCCUUCAUCGUCCCCGAUCUUUAAUGGUAUCACCACCACAAGCGCAUCUCUAUCUCUCCUCUCUCAGAUCUGAAUCCUUAGUUUCCGAUCUCUAAUGGCGGCACCACCACCAGAUGACACUUUUGUCGACAAAGAUCAACUGCGCAAAACCUAAUUUGAGCAAUUAUAUCCUCUAACGUGUUCUUUUCGGCUUGAUUUCAGUUUAAUUCCUCUUCUUCUCUGUUAUCACCAGCCAAUGUCGUUGCUAAUGCUUUACUAUUUUGUUUCAGCGUUCCGAAGUCAAAGCAACGGCAAAUCGAGAAAUCAUUUGAGGAGUCCCCUUUUGCGAAACAAUAACCUCAUAUCUCCCCCUUAUAAACAGAAAUUAUUAUUGAUUUAAUUUUAAUUCGAAAAGUGUUGGUUUUACCAGUAUACCCCAACCGAAAUCUAAAUAUUACAACCAAAACCUGGAUCUAUUCGAACCAGACCCGAACCAGACUCGACCCACCCAUAACCCGAAAUCUCUUCUCUCGAUUCUCUGCGUUUUAGUUUUUUUUUUUUAAAUCGAAAACUCAAACUCAUAUCUCCCCAAUUCCCCCAAUUCAAACCCUAACCGUUAUCUCUUGCAACUUCUUCUCCUCUUCAAAUCUCCGAGAUCUUCCCAGAAACGGUAAUUGAGAGAUUGCGAUCUCGAUUGCGAAAUCACACUACAAGAAAUUUGGUCAUUGGUAGCAUAUCAUUGUAGCACUAAUUCACUAACUGCUACUAAAAGUGACAAUAUCGGAUGGCAACUAUAUUGUAGCAUUAAGUUAGUGCUGGGAAAGAAUUUCAUUAAGCGGGAACCCAAAAAUUACUACUGUAGCAGAGAAAAUCAUUUUAGAGGCAAAACACUUGGCCAAAACUUUGUUUUUCCGCGACUCUCACAAAAGCAAACACUUAGGUCAUUUUUUUUUGAAAAUCUAAACCUUCGCUGACACCACGAAUUCGGUUUCCGGUCACCAGUAAACCCAAUUCCGGUCAUUCCUCAACCUUCGUCGCUUCGAUUCACUCGAUUUCAAGUCAUUUAUCAACCUUCGACGCCUCGAUUUAUCUCUGGUUUCGAAAAGGAAAUCAACUCUUUAGUUGGUGUCGUCUGCGUCGUCGUCGCUGAGUUGGUGUCGUCUCCGUAGCUCUAUUCCACCUGCAAUAUCGAAAAAGAAACCCACGACAGCAAGAAUCGAAGCCCUAGAGAAAUCUUUGAGGACCUAACACGAAUAUAAGAAAGAGAAUCAAUCUCCUUUACAAUCUUCAUGUUAUGGCUCUUAAAUUCGUUUGAAAUCUGGUUUUGUUUUUUGUUUUCUGCAAUAGAAAUCGAUACAUACAUUCAGAAGAUAAUCUUCAAAUAAGGGUUCUUAGCUUCAGCUAUUAGUUUGCAGGUUUGAUCUUUUUGCUGAGGUGAAGACGACAAAAACUCACAAAACCAAACUUCAUAAGCUUAAAGCAGCUUGUCUUGUUUGCAGGUACUUAUCAUGGGAUGAUUAUUUCAUGGCGAUUGCUUUCCUUUCUGCAGAACGAUCAAGGAUCCUAACAGGCAGGUUGGUGCGUGUUUGGUGAGCCAAAAUGGUGUCAUUCUGGGGAUUGGCUAUAAUGGUUUUCCAAGAGGCUGCUCUGAUGACAAACUUCCUUGGGCCAAGAAAUCAAGAACUGGGGACCCAUUAGAGACCAAGUAUCCAUAAGU
Molecule: long non-coding RNA, 1753 nt
Organism: Arabidopsis lyrata subsp. lyrata
Lineage: Eukaryota; Viridiplantae; Streptophyta; Magnoliopsida; Brassicales; Brassicaceae
Exons: 6
Source: RefSeq, a predicted model, not a curated record